Molecule: long non-coding RNA, 17483 nt
Filed under: Gossypium raimondii (Peruvian cotton)
Lineage: Eukaryota; Viridiplantae; Streptophyta; Magnoliopsida; Malvales; Malvaceae
Description: long non-coding RNA (GRAI_LNC002936)
Source: RNAcentral
UUUUUUUUAAGUAAUUCAGUUACCGUUCGAGAUUUUUUAUGAGAUUUUUUUUUUUAUUUGACAGAUUAAAUAUUGAAGAUGGAUGCUAAGUUUCUUGUAUGCGUUUAUUUCGAUGGAGUCAUAUUGACAACAAGUGUUGGAUGUGUAUUUGAAUGUCGGCAACAAAUAGCAAUGAGAUUUAAUAGAAAUGUAUCGUUCGAUGAAAUGAAAGCAAUGAUUAAUGCAAAAAUCCAUAGACGUUGUGGGAGAAGGAUAUCAAAAAUUUUCUACAAGUUUCCAGUUUCGACAAAUCCGGUCAAAUUCGUCGAAAUGGAACUUGUAGACGACGAAGACGUGGAGACAAUGGUCGAUCUCUACUGUGGGAAUGGGAGUGAGAAGAAUGCACCGAUUCACUUAUUUGCUGAGUUAGUCGAUAUGGAGCAAAAUGCAUCUGAUGAAGAAGACGGGGCUGAAGAACCGCGGAUGGUGGCUCCAAUAUCAUACGUUGAUAGUGAAUCAACUAUGGGUGGGAUCAGUAUCGACCUGAAUAUUACAGCCGAUGUUGACAUGGUUGGUGGUGAAGAAAAAGGUGCCGGCGAAGAAGAAGGUGGUGGCGAUAUGAAGAGGUCGAUAGUGACGCUGAUCCCGAUGUGGAUGAUGUACCUGAUGAUAUUGACGCUGAAGAUGUCAACAACGAUGAAGGCAUUAACGCUUCUUCAGUCGGGGAGCAGAUGCGGCAUAUUGUGAUACACAAUAAUCCUGGGCCACACAUGUCGCUCAUAGACCCCGACACAGCUUAUGUAUCUGAGUUUCCGGAGUACCCUGAAAUAGGUCAUUCUCACGGGCUGGCCGUAACAUCUGAUGAUGAUGAGUUAUUCAUAGGCUAGAGAUUCAGUUGUAAAGAAGAGUGCGUAUAUGCCAUUAAACGGUACAGCAUGAAGAUAUCGGUGGAUUAUAAAGUCUCCGUCUCUACUCCGACAAUAUAUGUUGGGGAGUGUUGGAAGGCUGCGGAAGGCUGCAAUUGGCGGGUACGAGCUGCAUUCAUUAGAAGUUCUCAGAUGUGGGAAAUACGAAAAUUUGUUGGUCCUCAUAUAUGCACAUCAACACGUAUGACAGAAGAUCAUGGAAAACUUGAUUCGAAAACUAUUUGUACGUGUAUCAUGCCAAUGGUGAAGGAUAUGCCGACCAUUAGAGUUUCGAUACUCAUUGCGGAAAUGCAAGCACGAUUCCAGUAUCGAGUCUCAUAUCGGAAGGCAUGGGUAGCUAAACAGAUGGCGAUGGAGCAACUGUAUGGGGAUUACGAUUCGUCGUAUAACGAGCUUCAAGGUUGGAUAGCUGCUAUGCGGGAGUACGUACCGGGGACUAUGAUUGAGUUGCAGACAAGUCUAUAUUACGGCCCGGAUGAGCAGUUACAGCCGGCAAAAAGAAUUUUCCAUCGGAUGUUCUGGAUGUUCGAUCCAUGUGUGCGGGCAUUUCCCCACUGCAAGCCACUUGUGCAGGUGGAUGAGACCUGGUUGUAUGGAAAAUAUACACAGAUACUGCUUCUUGCAGUUGCGCAAGACAGUAACAGAAACGUGCUCCCGAUAGCAUUUGCUAUCGUAGGUAAAAAGAACAUGGAGUCUUGGGAAUUCUUCCUAACAAAUCUGCGGAAGUAUGUUAUUAGGAACGAUAACAUUUGCAUCAUCUCCGAUAGAGGGAAGGGUUUAAUUGCAGCUAUUAGGCGUUCCGGUGUGUCAUGGAGAUCCGUUUACUGCAUUCGUCACAUUGCGUCAAACUUCCAUAAAGAUUACAAGUAUGCAGACCGGAAGAGACAAGUCGUGGCAAUGGGUAAAUGAUAACCUUAUCUUUUCAAUCUAAGUUGUAAUGUUUGAUGUUAUGGACUUACUAGAACUUAUUUUUCGUUAAUACGUAUGCAGCGUACGAGUUAAAGCCACAUAUUUUCCGGAAAAGAAUGAACCGACUUGAGAGUGACAUAGAGGGGCAGACAAACACAUUUUUCCGGCAAUGGUUGCGCACAAUGGAGCCGUGGCAGUGUGCUCAAAGUUUUGACGAGGGCUUUCGUUAUGGCCACAUGACCACAAACUUAGACAAGGGGAUCGAUGCUAUCUUGUUGAAAACACGUCAUCUUCUGAUUGCAUCGGUAUUUUCUGCUACUUUCUACAGGUUGGCUACGUUGAUGCCAAGAAUGGGGGGGCAGCAAGUCGACCAGAUUCAGGCGGGACAUGUGUUUGUCGAACAUGUGAGGGAUGCAAUGGUCGUAAAUCGUCGGUUGGCAAGGUCAAUGAACGUGAAAAUAUAUUCACGACGACUGGAAACGUUUCAAGUUACUGGGAACAUCGGUCGUCGAACUAGGUCCUACGGAGUUGAUCUUCGGAACAGACGGUGCGAGUGCAUGAAGUUCGAAACACUUCAUUAUCCCUGUGCGCAUGUCGUGGCAGCGUGUGCUAAAGUCAACCUUGAUGCUAAACAAUAUGUCGAUGAUGUGUACACGCUGGAGCGCACAUUGCGUGUCUGGGAGAAUGAGUUCCCCGUCCUGCCGGACCUAUCUACGUGGGAGGUGCCGCCGAUCACUUUUGAGCUUCUCCCAGACGCAGGGCUACAGAGGAAUCCAAGGGGUCGUCCGCAGUCAAGCAGAAUCCGUAAUGAGAUGGACAUUAGGGAGAAAUCUGACAGAAAGCAUUGUGGAAUAUGUAGGUUAAGUGGUCAUAGCCGGAAUAAAUGUCCUAACCGAAACUUUCAUGUCAGGCAGUCGUCGGGAUCGAGGCGAAAUUGAGCUACUGACCCAAAAUUUUUAUGUAUAUUGUUAUAAAAGGUAAUUUUAAGAUUAUAUCGAUUUUUUUAUUCGGCUUAUGCUUACGCUUAAAUUGUAUCCAAAUUGUAACAUUACCAUUUAAAUGUUAAAAAAAACCAUGUGAGCGUUGUGGAAUUAUUAAGAUUAUAUCGAAAAUAGAGGCAUUCAUAAUUUGAUUGAGCUUUAAUAUAAUGAAAAAAGUCGUGGCAAUGGAUAUUUAUACAUAAAAUUCAGAAGUAAGCAAUACCUAAAAUACAAAUAUGGCAUUUAUGGAAAAAGUGCAUUAAACCCCUAAAUUUGAUGGUUCGAUGGUGUUGUCCGAGGGGUAUACCUAUGCGAAGGUCGACGCUCACGGCCUGGGCGACGACUAACAUCCUCAUCGUCCGCAGGUGGGGGCGUGGAAAACGUAGAGGAAAGGUCUUGUUGCUCGUUCGCCGCCGACGAACUUGAACCAUCAUGAGUCUUAUAAUGCUGCAGAUACGUGUCGGACAGGCCGGGCAUGCCGUACUGCGGCCAAGGGGAUCCAAACAGUUCAAAGUCGUAGGCGUAUUCGCCCUGUGCGAAGCUCGGAUAAUAUUCACCGCCCACCGAAUCCGGACGAUAGCCAUGUGAAUCCAUAUUUAACUGUGAUUGUCCGGGAUCUGGUUAGGGGUUCUGCUCGGGCUCUGCCUGUUGCGGAGAAUAAUAUGCCAUCGGCUCCGUAUCCAGCACGCUCGUUGCGUCCGAUCCCCAAACUUGUUGCACGUAGGGGGGAUUACAGUCGAUUGCGCUCCAAGUAAAUACGGCUUCCCGCAGCUAUGGCACCAUUGUGCAUACUCCAAUGAUGGUUGCAGGUCGGUAGCCAUAACCAUCUGAGGAAUUCGGCGCAAUCGAUCAUUCCACAGUGCGACGUAUUUCCGGUGAAAUAUUCCCCAGUCCAAUUGAACUCUUCCUCUCUUUGUCAAGCCGUGAUCAUCCCCCAAUUGGCACGGCGGAUCCGGGAUAGGUUGGAUGCACCCAAACUGCCGAAGCACCCGAUCACCGUGAUACUACUCGACGACGUUGAAAUUUAUUAUUAGUGUGUUAGUACACCAUAUGUGGGAAUCAACGAGUGCGGACGAGAGUACAACAUUCAAAAUUUUCGGCCUCCGAUACGGCAUCCAUAUAAACUGCAUAAGUAAUAACAUUGUAACGAGUUAGACCAAUAACAUGUGAGUAAGAUAUAGAAAUAGAAUAGAUGCCAUUAAUAAUAGAAUAGCAGCUUACCCCUUCCUGGGCAUGUUGUUCAAUCCUGAAGCGGUAUAUCGGGACAUCACUCGACUUCCCGAUGCCUAGACGGGUCCACCUACAAAAAUUAGUACAGGGUUUAGGGUUGGUAACAUUACCAUAUAUAUUAUUCGGGACAAAUAAUGACAAUUUGUAAUAUUUUUUUCACCUGAGUGCCAAUGGAUACAGAUAGGGUUGGUGAGUAACGCGUGCCAAAAACGGCAUCCGAUAAAGCGCCCAUAACUGCAGCAGUAUGAGGCAUCCGCCGAUGUCUUUAACUUGCGGCUCUGUCGUCCGACAAAGCUCCCGGUACAGAGUUGCUAGAACGGCAGAACCCCAGCUGUACGAUCUAGCAGUGGAGAAAUCAGCUAGCAGGGGCAAGUAUGACAAAUGCACACUGUCGCCGUUUGCAUCAGGCAUGAGUACUGCCCCUAUCAUAUGCAUGAUGUACGCUCGAGCAGCGCACAUCAGCUCACCUUCACUGGCGGUUGCUGAUAAUCCGCAUAUUUUGGCUUUUAGCCAUGUAAAUUUUAUGCCGGAAAAAUAUUUAUCACCAUCCUCUGGUGACUCUCCUAGGGGUUGAUAGCAAACUGUAGCCGGAUCGGUGAAUGAAGAUACUCCCGUUACGGGACUCCCGUCAAUUGGGAGUCCAAGCUGCACUGCAACAUCCUCCAAGGUCACCGUGCACUCCCCGCACGGAAAAUGGAAAGUAUGGGUCUCUGAACGUCACCGCUCCACUAGCGCAGAUAAUAAAUCAAACCGCAAGUCGGAGGACCGGAUCAAUGCUACUGACCCAAAUCCGGCUAGCUCCAGGUACGGCAUAAAUCGUGCAUCCGGAGCUAUCUUUAAAGCACUGACACGGCCCCUUAAUACUCGGAACGAGUCCUGAUAGUGUAAAAUUACAAAAAAAUAUUACGAUAACAUAAUUUAUUUGUAUAUACUGCGUAUAUCGUUUUUAAAUAAAUAGAACUCCUGAUUAACAAAUAAUAAAUCAUACCGCGUUAUUAGCCGCAUCAGAUAUGUGUCUAAUAUCGGUUCAUAUCAAUCGAGCCAUUGUGAUGCCUGCAAGUUGAAAAAAAAAGUUAGUAAAUAAAUCUUACUUCGGCCAUUUAUUCAUAUUUUUUUCUUCGCAUUUUAUUACUUUAAAAAAUAUUAUAAUUUCUAAUUUUAUAAUUUUACAUUAUUUCAGUGCAUAAUGUUUGAAAUUUAUUACUCUAGUGUGUUAUUUAAAUUAAUUUGGUGUAAAAAAUUAACCCUUACCCCUGCCCUUUGCUCGUAUUAUUUUCUCGAUUUUUAUUACUUUAAAUAAAAUUAUUUUAUUCUCGUAUUUUAUUGUUUUAUAUUAUUUCAGUACAUUUUCUUUGAAAUAUUUUGUAUUAAUUAUUUCUGAAUUUUAUAAAAGUUAGUAAUACACUCUUACUUCUGCCAUUUGUUCGUAUUUUUUUCUCCGCAUUUUAUUACUUUAAAAAAUAUCAUAAACUUAGUCUUUUAAAAUUUUACAUUAUUUCAGUGCAUCGUGUUUGAAAUUUAUUAAUUUAGUGUGUUAAGGGAGAAUAAAAGAAAAUAAUAAAUAAGUAGGGAUUAAAAGGUAAUUAGCCACAUAUUUGUGCCGCCUUUUUUUCCCCUCCAUCACCCUUUUUUUUUCCUCUAUUAUUUUGGUAAAUAAAGAAAAAGUUUAUAAAAUUUUGGUAUUUUUUUUGUAAUAUUUUGCUAAAAAAGCCGCAAUAAACCCUUUCCCCNNNNNNNNNNNNNNNNNNNNNNNNNNNNNNNNNNNNNNNNNNNNNNNNNNNNNNNNNNNNNNNNNNNNNNNNNNNNNNNNNNNNNNNNNNNNNNNNNNNNNNNNNNNNNNNNNNNNNNNNNNNNNNNNNNNNNNNNNNNNNNNNNNNNNNNNNNNNNNNNNNNNNNNNNNNNNNNNNNNNNNNNNNNNNNNNNNNNNNNNNNNNNNNNNNNNNNNNNNNNNNNNNNNNNNNNNNNNNNNNNNNNNNNNNNNNNNNNNNNNNNNNNNNNNNNNNNNNNNNNNNNNNNNNNNNNNNNNNNNNNNNNNNNNNNNNNNNNNNNNNNNNNNNNNNNNNNNNNNNNNNNNNNNNNNNNNNNNNNNNNNNNNNNNNNNNNNNNNNNNNNNNNNNNNNNNNNNNNNNNNNNNNNNNNNNNNNNNNNNNNNNNNNNNNNNNNNNNNNNNNNNNNNNNNNNNNNNNNNNNNNNNNNNNNNNNNNNNNNNNNNNNNNNNNNNNNNNNNNNNNNNNNNNNNNNNNNNNNNNNNNNNNNNNNNNNNNNNNNNNNNNNNNNNNNNNNNNNNNNNNNNNNNNNNNNNNNNNNNNNNNNNNNNNNNNNNNNNNNNNNNNNNNNNNNNNNNNNNNNNNNNNUUUCUUUCUCUUUUUCUCUUCUCCUUUCCCUUUCUUUCCUUCUUUUUCUUUCUUCCCUCUCAUUUCUUCCUUUCUUUCUCUCUUUCUUUCUUUCUUUCCUUCUCCUUCUGCCCCCCCACCACCGACCCCCCCUAUUAUUAACUGGUGCCGCCAAUCCCAUUGGCGUGACCAGUUAAUUGUCACAUCGAUCUGAUUUUUUUGGUUUUUUUAUAUAUUUUGGUAAAUAAAAAAAGUUAUAAUAUUUUGGUAAAUUUUUAUUUUUUUAUAAUAUUAUUGUAAAAAACCCACAGAAAAAAUAUAAAAAUUUCCUUCAUUUUCCACCCUAGGAUUUCGACUGACAAUUCAAUCCUUUUCCAUCCUUUUUCUCCAAGUCCUUUUUGGUAAUAUAAAGUGAAUAAUAAUAAUAAUAAUAAUAAUAAUAAUAAUAAUAAUAAUAAUAAUAAUAAUAAUAAUAAACUACCUCUUAGAUAUUAAAGAAUGAGUAAAUUUUUAUUUUGAUCACUUAAUUAAAAAAAUUAUAAUUUGGUUAUUAAAUUAUUUGAAAGUUUUUAUUUAAGUUACUAGACUGUUAAAAUUAAUGCUAUAUGGUUUUCUUUAUUCGCAUUGUCUACACUAAUCAAAAGACUUUUUUCCUUCUCUUCUACAGUUCAGUUUUUUUCAUGAAACAACUUUUGAUAUCACAAGUCUACAAACCAAAAUUCAAACAAUUUUCUUCUCCAAACUCCGACAUUGACCUUUAAAUCAACUUAGACCUAAGAUAUGUUCUUUUACUCAUUGAUGGGUACCAAUCCACCAAACUAAUUGUCGAAUCGUCACUUGGAAUUUAUAGUUAAAACUUAAAAAAAAAAAACUUAACAGCCUAGUAUUUUAAAUAAAAUUUUUGAAUAGUUUAUUGAUUUAAAUAAAAACUUUUGAAUAGUUUAAUGGCUUAAAUUGAAAAUUUUUAAAUAACCCAAUAGCGAAAUUAUAAUUUUUUAAAAUUAAAUAACCGAAAAUAAAAAAAAUUACCCGGUUAAUGAUGGAAAAAACUUGGAUUUGAAUUCGCUUUUAAAUUAGGCUUUUAGCCACCAAACUAUAACAUUUUCUUCAUUUAAGUAGUUAACACUUUUUUUUGGUUAAAAAUAAUACCUAAAUUAGCAAUUUGGUGUUACUUUUUCCAAAAAUAUAUGAUAUCCAAAACAUUUCAUUAUUCUUUUUUUAUUGAUUGAUAUCAUAUUUUGAUAUAAAAAUAUAUAUACUUAAAUGAAAAAUACGAUAUAAUUUGAAGGAAAAGUAUUCAAGCUCACGGUUUGAUAAAAUUUACACAUAUCUCUACGUUUUGGAAAAUAACCAUUAACCUCUUUAGGGCUUGGUAAAAAUCUACUAACCCUCUCUGUUAUUGUUCUAUUUAUUUUUGUUAUUUUUAAUUUUGAUAUUUGAUAUUUUCUAUUUAAAAUAAUAAAAAUUUAAUUAAUUAUAAAAUGUAUUUAUUAUUAAAUUAAAUUAUAAAUUGUAUUAUACUCUUUUAAUUUUUGUUUUUAGUAGUUUUUUAUAGUUAAUAUUUAAAUCUUAAUUUAUUUAUAAUAACUACCGGACAAUAGCCAAUUUCUCAACUUUAUGGGAUUUUCGAUAAUAUUUAUAAUAUAUUAGUAUGGUUCAACCAUGCUUCGUGUUGGGUUAAUUAUUUAUUUGUGCCAAAUUAUAAAGUAAAAAUCUGAAGAUUAAAAUAUACUCUAAGUAAGAUUUGUAGAACCAAUCAGUGGUUGAACUAGUCAGGCCACUAGUUCAUACAGUUUUGAUUAAAUAAAUCAUUAAAAAUUCGUAAAAAUAAUUUUAAAAAAUUGAUUCAACUAGUACGAACUGAUUCAUAGGUCAACCAAUCUGAUGCCUCUCUCUAGACUGACAUCCCACUCAAUUCUCGGUCCAGUAUGGUUCAAACAACCAUUACUCUAAGUCUAUAUAUACUUCAUACAUUUAGAAUUUAGUCUUACUACCUUUAUUUUCAAGAAUUUAAUCACUCUACUUUUUUUAUUUAAAAAUCUGCUUUCACAUUAUAUAUAACAUGCAACAUUUUAAUAAAAAAGUUAACGAUAUUAACUAUUUUAAUUAAUUAAUAAUAUUAUAUAAAUAAAGAGACCAAAUUAUAUUAGAAAAUAAAGUAUAAGAAUUAAAUAUUAAAUUUAAGCAUAAUAGAGAGACCAAAACUAAAAUUUAACCAUUUAUUUAUAAUGUAAAAAAAAAAACAUUUUGAACCACGUGUCUGUGUAGGAAGGACCUUCCUUUUAUAUAGAGUUAGGGUAAACUACAUUAGCAGUCAUCCAACUAUUAGUAAAUUGUUUUUUUUUUUGUCAUCCAACUAUGAAAAUUUACAAAAUGGUAAGUCUUUUUUAGUCACCCAAGUAUCUUGGAUUUUUUGGUGUUUUCAUUUUUAUGUUAGUCAGCUAGUGACCAAAAAAGACAAUAUUGAAUAGUUGAGUGACCAUUUUGUAACUUUUUAUAGUUUUGUGACCAUUUUGUAAUUUUUCAUAGUUAGGUGACCAAAAAAGAAAUUUACUUAUAAUUGAGUGACUACUAGUGUAGUUUCCCAUAGAGUUAUAUAGAUAUACAUGUAAUCCAUUCAAAAUGGUAACUUAACUAUUCAAUUUUGUCUUUUUUUAAUUAUCUAACUAUCUUGGAUUUUUGGAUGUUUUCAUUUUUAUGACCAAAAAAGGCAAAUUUAAAUAGUUGAGUAACUAUUUUGUAACUUUUCAUAAUUUAAUGACCAAAAAAGAAAUUUACUAAUAAUUAGUGACUAUUUUAUAAAUUUUCAUAAUUAAAUAGCCAAAAAAAAGUUUUACUAAUAAUUGAGAAAGUGUAGCUUACCCAUAGAGUUAUAUAAAUAUACAUAUAAUCAAUUCAAAUUUUAUUGUGACGUUGAUACGUUUUCUUUUAAGAUUUCUUGCAUUUUCUAUUUUACCAUUUAUCAUGUAAUUGAAAAUUUUUAUAAAUAACAAAUAAAUGCUAGAUAUAAUGGUAAGAUAUUGUAUUGUCAAGAGAAGACUUGGAUUCAAAUUUUGGAGACAAUAUUAUUAAAAAGUAUAAAUAUAAACUCUAAAAGAUUAAUAUUCAUAAAUCGUUUAAAAAUUUUAAAUCAAUAUAAAAUCUAAUCCGAUAAAAAUUUUCAAGUGAAAAGUUUUUAAAAUUAGAAAUUCAAAUUUUAAAGGGAAAAAUUCAAUGUAAAACCAAAUCUUUUCCAUGUUUAUUUAAUCAUUCUAACUUUUAUUUACAAAAAAAAAUGAUACAUUCCGAUAUAAAAUGAAAUAAUAUAAGUGAAAGUAUCAUAAAACCCCUUGAAUUGAGUGUUUAAUUAUAUAUUUUUUCUUUACUCAAAAAUUAGAUAAAAUAAUAAUUAAAAAUUCCAAAUUUAAAAAAUCAACGUAAGACCGAAUCUUUUCCAUAUUUAUUUUUCAUAACUUCCAUUUAAAAUAAAAAGGUAGAAUGAUGCAUGCCAAUAUAAAAUGAAAAUGUAGCUAAAAACAUCAUAAAUAUUUUUGUAUUAAGAGUUGAAUUACAUUUUGUCCUCCUUAUUCAUACAAUAGGCAAAAUAAUUUUGAAAAUUCCAAUUUUAAAAGGGAAAAAGGUAAUUUAAGAGAAAACCUUUUCCAUUUUUAUUUACUCUAACUUCUAUUUACAAAAAAUAAAGAAGGUAAAAUGACAUAUUCUGAUAUAAAAUGAACCAGUGGUAGGUAAAGGUAUUAUAGAGACCAUUAUAUUAGGAGCCGGAUUGUAUUUCAUUUCUUAGAUUAAAAAAGUGGAUAAAUAAUUUAUGUGGGUUAGAUUAAAGAGUAAACUGAUAUUUUUGUUGAAAAUUUUAUUGAUUUAUAAUGUUAAAAACUAACUUAUCAAUGUACUUUAAUAUGAGGUAUAUAGUACGUCAUAUAUAACUAUUUAAUUAUUCCGUCAUUAAUAUUAAUUUUUAACAAUAAAAAUAAAUAAAACAAAAAAUAGGCAAUGUAGGGUUAGAAUAGAAAUAUAAAAGAUGAUUAUCACGAGAAGAUAAAAUGAGAAAAUUGAAAGUGGUGGCUGCCCUGCAAAGUCCAAAGUGACGCCCAUCACUCGCACUCCCUCCUGCUCCUUUUCUUUUUCCACAUCUCCCACGUGUCCUUGCACAUUGCUUCUAUUUACACAUGUUUAGAUAAUAAUGGAUUUCAUUCGAUUCAGUAUAAUAUCAAAAUCCAUAGGGCAGUUAAAAUGCUAAUUCCAGCGUCCAACAUGUUUGAAAAGAUAAUGGUGGAAAUGUAAAAGGAAUUACAAGUUUCACACCUACAAACUGAGGUAUGGUGAUUUAUGUAUUGGUUGUUUUAAGAUAUACGUAAUAGAUCUGGUUGGAUUUUGUUUGUUUCGGCCUAGAGACAAGCUCCCCCAAAUUGGGCAUCAACAUCUGGAAAAGAUUAACCAACACCACACUCCUUCCCCCCAAAAUAGCAAAAUUGUAUCAAUAAAACAAUAGAUUUUCAAUAUGAAUGUAAAUCCCUCAGAAAUCUAGCUCAAGGAAUGAUGACAUAUAACAUCACUGCUACUAUAGAAAAUGUUUCUGUGCAGUGACUUCAAUGUCAAAGAACUCAAAUGUUUUAAUUGUUUUAUCCCUCCAUGACUGAUUUCAAUUUGCAGAUCAUAAACAGUCACUAUUGUUCUACCAAUUGUGUUAUCUAUGAAUGAAUACCAUCACUAUUUGACUUCCCAAGAUACUCCACCUCCGCAAUCAUACUUACCACCUUCCUAUACAUGUUUAAGUUUCCACACCAUUCAUAAUAACCUCCUCAAUCAGAAAAACUGACAACAAGAGCUUAAAUUCAAGCAUGACACAAUGCUAAAUUAGAAAACAUGGAAUCACCCCUCAUAUCAAACAAGAAGUUUGAUAAUUCAUUAGUGAGUGGUGCCAAAAAAGUAUACCUACUGCCCAGGGAUUUAAAUUGCGGUUGCGACUACGUUUUCGGUUGCAUUGCAUUUAUCGUGGUUGCGGACAUAAUGGAUACUAUUGCGGUUACUGUGGGUAUCGCGAUCGUGAAUUUUUUUAAAAAUUCAUAAACUUAUUGUAAAAUAUAAUAAUUAUAAUUAUAAUUAUUAUCACUUUUAAUGAUUUUUAGAGCGUUUUCUAACACUUAUGAACUUUUAUUAAUAUGAGAACACAAUUUUUAUAAUCAUUAAUUUUUCUUAUAUUUAUUUACAAAUUUUCUAAGAAUUUUAUAUUAACUAAUAACAAAGUAAAAAAAAAAGAAAUAUUAAACAUUCAUCAUAUUUAAUAAGUUUGAAAGUUUUUAUAGAUAAAUAAUUGAAAAUUCAUACAUGAGAGAGAUCUUCAAUAUUUUUUAACAGAUUUGAAGAUGCUGAAGAUAACAAAUCAUUCUAUGCUGAAAAAGGAAAAGAUGAAUGUAUAGAUUCUCAUUAAUUAUUCCUAUUUCCUACCACUUAUUCUCACUCUCAUUCUACUUUCAUAUAUAGUUUAACAUGCUUCGAUUCUUAAUUAUCUUUUCAUAAAAUAUAUUACAUUCAUUUAUCUAAAGAUGUAUUUUAAAUGUCUUAAUAUCAUUAAAAUUAAAAACAUUAACAAAAGUUUUCUUUAAAAAAAAUACCUUACAGAUAGUGGUAGUGGUACGAUUUAGUUUUCACCAAUUAGUGGAAUGAUGAGGAGGAUUAGAUCCUUCACCUUCACUUUGAGAGCGUUCUUGACUUGAUUCUCUUAGCCUUUGUCCAAAAAUAUAAAAAAAAAAAAACAUUUUCACCUUGGUUUUCAUAUAAUUGAUAUGGAGGAUAUAUUUGAGGAGGAAGAUAUAUGAGAGGUGGAGGUGGGUGAUACAUUGGUGGUGGUGGAUGCAUUUGAGGCUAGUAUGACACACCAUAAUUAGGAAAUGGUGGAUAAUAACCAUAUGGUUGUGGAUAACCAUGUGAAGGUUGAAAAUAUGGAGGUUGUUCUGGUGGAUAAAAACCUUAAGUGCUAAUAGAUGAAUCACUAUACCCAAGGUUACUAGAAUUCAAUCUCCUACCAGAUGAAGAGCCUAUAGAAGUAUGCUUCUUGUCUUUUCCUUUUGAUGGAGCUUUAGGUUCACUUCUAUCUCUCCUAGGUUCAGGAAACAUAUUUCCAUCAAAUUCUGAUCUAUCACGGAAAUGUCCACUAGUGGUACCAACCCCAUAUUCUCCUCUAUACCGACUAGAAGACCUAAUUUCACCUCUAUCUCUACUAUAUCCAUCAUCAUCAUCAAUUGAACUUAAACCACCACCAUCGGGUCCAUCGCCAUUCUAACUUGGAGUUGCACUAGAACUUGAAUGAGAUAAAUUUUUUUCUUGAGAUUGAUCAACAUUCAUUUCAUCAUCAGAGGUAUCCACAAGCAACACAGCGACAUUUUCACCAUCUAACAACAGAUUCUCUUUCUCAUGAAGCCAUUCUGAUAGUGGAUCAACAUCUUCAAAGAUAUGAAGGCUGAUAGGAUUAAAACUAGCUUUUAUAUCAUCAAUGCUCAUUAUUUUUUGAUGCAUUAUCUGAAGCCUCAUAUUAUAAUAGGUAAACACUAGUUUCUUAAGUUUUUUAUACUUCAACAUAUUUCUUGCCUUGGUGUGAAUAUAACUAAAUGUGCUCCAAUUUCGUUCGCAAUUUGAUGCAGAAGUUAUUUGACUAAGCACUUUAAUUGCUAAUUUUUGUAACUCAGGAACACAUGUGCCGUAUAUUAUCCACCACUCAACUACAUAAUAUUAUUUAAAUUUCAAAAUAACUUUGAAAUGUACAAUAUAAUUAAAUAAUAUAAAUUAGAUUAAAUAAUUUAAUUAACUAUUUACCCGGAUUCAUUUGCUUCCAAGCUCUUUGGGCUUGUGGAGUACCGAAUGUCUCAUGUUUAUCUCUAAAUAGUAACAACUGCAUAAAUAAAAGAUAAAGUAAAAAAAAAAUUCUAUUUCAAAUUAUGUAACUAAGUUACAAAUAAUAGUACUUGAAUCUAACUUGAUUAACCAUUCUGACUUGAGUAUCAAGAGAAGGUUCUAAUCUUUCAAUUACUGAUCUUGUACCUUCUAAUGUUUCUAUUAGUACAUUCUCAGAAUGCUCCACCCCAAAUUGAAAUUGAGGAUUGAAAAAAUAACCUAAGCAUAAUUUAUAAGAAUAUCAUCAAAUAAUAUUCUAAAGCUUAAAAUAAUAAAAUAUAAAAAUAGUUCUUAGUUAUAUGAAACAUUUUAUCUUACCAGCUGAAUGUAAACUGAAAUGCAUAAAAUUCCAUCUAUUGUCAAUAAUAUUUUCGUACUCGGUGAAAUAUCGACAAUCUUGUUGAAUUGCUCAUUUAGCUCUAUCAACAACCUCAUAAAUAAAGUCCAUUGUUGGUUUUUCAUCACCAUCCACAAGUCUCAAUUCUUUUACUAGGGGCUCGUAAACUUUUAUGAGGUCGUUGGCUUUUUUCCAAAAAUAUUUUCCCAAAACAAUUUUUUUGGCUUCAUAAGCAAGCUCUGACUUUUACUGUCCCCAUUUUGAUUCUUUAAAUUCCUAUAUAUUCAUAAGAAAAUUUUAAUUCACGCUUAGUGCACUUUGUGCAGAAGUGUUUUGGGAUUCAAAGUUUAAUUCAUAUGCCUAAAAAUAGAAUAAAUUUACGGACAAGAAAGUAAAAUCAGAUUUCACAGAAACGAGAUAAAAAGAACUAAAUUUACAGAAAUCAGUGUGGUCACUAUUAAGUAAUCUACGAUGAAAAUAAAAAAAAUAAGGGGGUUUAAUUAGUCUGAAAGAAAGAAAAUAAAUUUAAAUAAGAGAAAAUAGAAUGAUGUGUUGGAAAAUAAUUAUUGAGUGAUGAAUGAUAAAUUGAUACUCAAAUUAAACAAUUGUAUCUCUUGGUUUAAUAUUGUAUUUUUUUCAUACAGUUGUAUCUUUUGAAAAAAUGUAUCUCUUGGUUUAAUAUUGAAUUUUUUUCAUUUAUUGUCUCUAUUCACUCAUAUCUAUUAAUUUUUCAACAAAUCUCUUCAUUCUUUUCCUCUCCUCUAUAUAAAGUCAAGUUAGGAGAUUUCAAAAACGUAUCAUCAAAAAACUAUCAAUAUUUUAAAUUCCUUAUAAAUUCAUUUCUCCUGGUAAUAGAGAAAGGCAAGAGUGCUCAAUUGAUUAUUGUUGUUGUGCUACUACUGUGAUUUUUGGUUGUUGUAUCCUGGGAGACAGACGUCCAACAUUACUCAAAGCACCGAGGAGAGGUCGAAUUUGUCUUAAGGAAACUGUUUAUACAGGCCUCAACAAAAUUCUUCUUCUAAUUUUUAACUUUGUCCAAUUACAAGUAUUCUAUUAUGUUACUACUACUACAUUGUAUUGCAUUAUUAUUUUUAUUAACAUAUUAAUACUACAUAUGAUAUCAAAUUUUCUUACAAUCUUAAGACAGAUUAAUUGUUGUAAUUUUAAUCUAAAGCGUACAGAUUACCAUCAUAACUUAUUUAAGAUUGGUUUAUACUUCUGUUUUGGAUUUUAAUUUAUUUAUAAAUUCUAGUUCUUUAUUCCGAUUAUAAAAAAAUGUCUCACACGUCAAACAACUCAUCCAAUUUAAAGGCUGAGGCAAUUGUCGUUGCUCAAGUUCAGGAUGCAAGCCAAACGUUACCUGUGGCUAUGAGUCACAAUGAAAAGCCUGCGAAAUUCACUAGAGAGAAUUUUAAAACAUGGCAACAGAAAAUGUUGUUCUAUUUGACCAUGUUGAAUAUGACAAAAUUUUUGAAGGAUGAUCCUUCUAUUUUUAGAGAGGAUGAGGAAGAUGCUAUUACCGCCUUCAACAUUGUCGAAGCACGGAACAACUUUGAUUUCCUAUGUCGUAACUAUAUUUUGAACAGUUUAUCUGAUGAACUUUACGAAGUAUACAGUAUUAAGAAAACGACUAAGGAAUUAUGGGAAUCGCUGGACCAUAAAUACAAAACUGAAGAUGUUAGUGCUAAUAAAUUCUUAGUUAAAGUUCUUAAACUUUGUAAUGGUUGAUUCUAAAGCUGUUGUAAAUCAGGUGCAGAAAUUCCAACUAAUCAUUCAUGGUAUUCUCGUAGAAGGGAUGGAGAUAAGUGAAUCCCUUUAGGUGGCAACCAUUAUUGAAAAACUUCCCCCUGUUUGGAAUGACUUCAAGAACUAUCUUAAGCAUAAGAGAAAAGAAAUGACGGUGGAAGAUCUGAUUGUCAGACUUCGAAUUGAAGAAGACAAUCGAGGUGCGACUAAAAGGCUAAAAAAAGCAACCAAUCCUAACAUUACCAAAGUAAACGUAGUGGAAGUCAAUGAGGACUCCAAGAAAAGAAAACAUUCUCAGACUGGGUCUAGACUAGGACUAAAAGGCGGUGUUUUCAAGAAACCAAAAUUCUAAGGAAAAUGCUUUAAUUGUAAUAAGAUGGGGCACAAGUCAUCUGGUUGUAGGCUUCUAAAGAGGGUCAGAACAAACGAGGCCAACGCUGUGGAAAAUAUUUCUAAAGAAGUAUCUGAUCUUAACCUUUAUGUUGUGAUUUCUAAAGUCAACUUGGUUGAUUUAAAUCAAGAGAAUGGUGGCUUGAUACUGGUGCCACACAUCAUAUUUGCUGUGACAAGGACUCUUUUGUUGAGUUGGUUCCUUGUGAGAAAUGGGAGAAACUCUAUAUGGGCAAUGCCACAACUUCCAAGAUUAAGGGGAAAGGCACUGUAAUUUUGAAGUUUUGGCAAAUAGUUGAAACUUUAAAAUGUGUCGUAUGUGCUCGACAUAUGCAAGAAUCUUAUCUCUGGGACCCUCCUAAGUAUGCAUAGCUUUAAGAUGAUAUUUGAAUCCCAAAAGUCAGUUUUGUCAAAAGGGGGAACAUUUGUGAGAAGGGGAAAUGUAUUAAAUGAUAUGUGGAAACUCAAUGCUAUAUCUGUAAAAGCUAAUAGUAUGAAUAAGAAUAAUGAUUCUUCUUUUGUUUAUAUGUUUGAGUUAUUUGAUUUAUGGAACGGUUGACUCGGACAUGUUAAUUCUAAUACUUUACAUAGACUAAUUAACUUAGAGCACAUUCCUUUAUUUCACAUUAAUCAUAAUCAUAAAUGUGAAACAUAUGUUGAGGCAAAACUAACAAGGCCUUCUUUUCAAUCUAUUGAAAGAAAUACUGAAUCACUUGAUCUAAUACAUAGUGAUAUUUGUGACUUAAAUUUUUUUCAAACUAGAGGAGUGAAUAAAUAUUUUAUUACAUUCAUUGAUGAUAGCACAAAAUAUUGCUAUGUAUAUUUGCUUAAAAACAAAGAUAAAACUGUAGAGAAAUUUGUUCUCUAUAAGUAGUGUAAUAGCCUAAAUUUGCCCGGCCCACAUACAUUUCAAAAAUAAAUAAAUAAAUAAAUAAGGUCCAAAUGUCCAUUACAUUGACCCAAUUUAAAAAAACCCGAAAUUACAUACCCAAAGUCCAAUUAACAAAAACCCAAUACCUAAAGCCUGACACGGCCCAACCUAGCCCAAAACAUUCCCUAAACACAAACCCUAGCAGCAAUGGCUCACAGCGCAGCAGCAGCAGCACCUCUCAGCCUUCCCUCGCAUGUGCGCCGCCGCCAUGUGCCACGCCUCCACGUCCACUGCUCCGUACGGCCGUACCUGCAACAAACAGAGGCAGACAAAACAACAACAGCAAGAAAAUACAGGGAUAGGAGAUUUUUUCUGUAAUUUUCUAUUUUAUUUUUCUGUCGUUUCUCGGCUAUAAGGCCAUCUUCAAGAAUUUGUAAACGGGGAAUAUCAACACAGACGCGCAUAUUGUAUAGAAAAAAAAUAUUCAAAGAAAUAAAAAAAAAACAGAGGUUUCGAAAAGUGAUCGGAGUUUUUCUUCUGACUAUUCCUUUUUCAAUUUUUUUAAUGUUUAGAUUGCUGUUUUAAAAAAGGGGAAAACCAUUUCAAAAGGAAAGGAAUGAAAAUAUCGCAGUGAGUUUUAGGUUUUUUCUUCUUUCGAUUUCACUAUUUCCCUUUUAUUAUUUUAUUGUUUAUUCGUCAAAAAAUGAUUUAGAAGACAGAAGAUUACCUGAAAUACUAAGUCUCCGCUUGCUCCGUCGUGAUCGGAACCCUGGGGAGGUUCGCGAAGCCUCAAAACAACCCGAAUGUCCGAGCGGCGCAUGCAGGAGGAGAUGGUUUAGGUUUUUUUAGUUUGAUUUGUGAAUGGAGACGGCGGGGUAGCAUUUAGGUUUUUUU